AGAAAAGAAACAUGAGUUUAAGUCAGGAUUUGGCCAAAUGCCGAAAGAAGAAAAGAAUUAUUAUUAUUAUAUAUAUAUAUAUUUUUUUUUUUUUUUUUUUAAUAAAUCAAUAAUGAAUACUAAAUAGAAAUUAAAAGAAUAAUUAAGAGAAAAAUAGGGAAAUGAUAAUAAUAAUAGAAUAAUAAAAUAACAAAUUAAUUUGUGGGUUGUCUCCCACUAAGCGCUUUGUUUAAAUGUCGCAAGCUCGACAAAGAAACUGUUAAAUAUAGUCUAUGAGUCCUGGGGGCGUUUCGUCUAAGUGUAGAAUUUGCGAAUCCUCGUUGGUUUCCGCAUAGUGAUAAUGUUUCAGACGUUGCCCGUUUACGGUGAACGGUUCUGUAGAUUGUCCUUUUAUUUCUACCGCUCCACUGGGAAAGAUUUUAGUGAUAUGAAAAGGUCCUG
This 441-nucleotide long non-coding RNA is filed under the name Lathyrus oleraceus (garden pea). RNAcentral describes it as "Pisum sativum (pea) long non-coding RNA (PSAT_LNC019557)". The record is from RNAcentral. Lineage: Eukaryota; Viridiplantae; Streptophyta; Magnoliopsida; Fabales; Fabaceae.